RNAcentral lists this ribosomal RNA (465 nucleotides) under Vreelandella stevensii. Its description in RNAcentral is "partial 16S ribosomal RNA". It matches the Rfam family "Bacterial small subunit ribosomal RNA", at positions 338 to 795 of the family's 1533-position model. The record is from RNAcentral. Lineage: Bacteria; Pseudomonadati; Pseudomonadota; Gammaproteobacteria; Oceanospirillales; Halomonadaceae.
CCUACGGGGGGCUGCAGUGGGGAAUAUUGGACAAUGGGGGGAACCCUGAUCCAGCCAUGCCGCGUGUGUGAAGAAGGCCCUCGGGUUGUAAAGCACUUUCAGUGAGGAAGAACGCCUGGUGGUUAAUACCCAUCAGGAAAGACAUCACUCACAGAAGAAGCACCGGCUAACUCCGUGCCAGCAGCCGCGGUAAUACGGAGGGUGCGAGCGUUAAUCGGAAUUACUGGGCGUAAAGCGCGCGUAGGUGGCUUGAUAAGCCGGUUGUGAAAGCCCCGGGCUCAACCUGGGAACGGCAUCCGGAACUGGCAAGCUAGAGUGCAGGAGAGGAAGGUAGAAUUCCCGGUGUAGCGGUGAAAUGCGUAGAGAUCGGGAGGAAUACCAGUGGCGAAGGCGGCCGUCUGGACUGACACUGACACUGAGGUGCGAAAGCGUGGGUAGCAAACAGGAUUAGAUACCCCAGUAGUC